AUGUAGUACUACAUUCUACAGGUUUAUAAAGUGGAAAAAGUCAAACAAAAACUUAAGUAACAAUCGUUUACUUCUGGGUCACUUAAAUAAAUACAUGUUAAAAUACUUUGGUUCGUCCCAUCGUGUGUGUUUAGGUGCGUACGCAACUGUGUGCGUGCGUGUGUGUGUGUGUGUGCGUGCGUGUGUGUGUGCGUGUGCGUGUGUGCGUGCGUGUGUGUGUGUGUGCGUGCGUGUGCGUGCGUGCGUGUGUGCGUGUGUCGCCUCUUCCUGGUUCCUCCUGGUUCUUCUCCUCUCGGGCUCCUCUCGUCGCUGCGUCAGGAGGAACCUCUGCGCCAUGUUGACCCGCUAACAGCCGGAACUUUAACCCACUAAGCAACUAGUUGGUGUUUGGUAGCUAACGCUAGUUAGCUCCGCGUUAGCUCCCUGCUAGCCGCACAGCCCGUCGGUUACAGAACCGGCAGGUGGAGCCGAGCGACGCCACCAGUCCUACACCAACUCUGCCUUCAGCAGCCAGCCGUCUCCUCCGCCCGAACACACCUGUAAGGCCUGCGGGGGGAGACUCGACACACCUGCCACGAAGCAUGUCUGUGUCGACUGCCAGAAGGACUACUGCUGCCGCUGCUCCGCCCAGCUAGAGCCCCGCCCCCGCCUCUGUCACACCUGUCAGCGUUUCUACGGCAACCUGCUGGAGCGGGCGGAGCUCAUGAAGCUGAAAGUGAAGGAGCUGCGGGACUACCUGCACCUGCAUGAGGUCUCCACCCACUUGUGCAGAGAGAAGGAAGAGCUGGUGGAGCUCGUCCUCGGACAGCGGUCCUUGCCGUCCCACGGGUCCGUCCCCGAGACUCCGACCUCCACCCCCCCCGACGUGACCUCCGACCCCACCAUUUGCAUCUCCUCCCCGACUCCCGACUCCCCGACCUCCAUCCCAGAGCCCCCGUCUGCCGAGCCCGAAGCCCCGCCCCCGCCCACAGAAGAGCCCGCCCCCGCUGAGCCCAAUGCUGCGGACGAAGACCAGGUAACACCAGGAAGGAGACUCAAGCCAGGGUCUUGUUUUUGAGACUGGAUUCUUCAGGUCUUCAGUGUCUUUUGUCUGUCUGGUUCAGAACUGGGAUCCGGAGGAGGCUCCGGUCUCAGGCCGCCGGGCUUCUCUUUCGGAUCUGAGCUGCCCGGAUGACAUCGAGGGGCUCAGCGUUCGACAGCUGAAGGAAAUCCUCGCCAGGAACUUCGUCAACUACAAAGGUUGCUGUGAGAAGUGGGAGCUGAUGGAGAGAGUGAACCGGCUGUACCAGGACCAGCAGAACCUACUGGGUAAGUAUCAGGACCACAGUGGGCCGCUACAGGACCAUAGUGGGCCACUACAGGACCAUAGAGGGCCA
This is a long non-coding RNA of Gasterosteus aculeatus (three-spined stickleback), 1376 nucleotides long. The record is from Ensembl. NCBI's taxonomy places the organism in Eukaryota, Metazoa, Chordata, Actinopteri, Perciformes, Gasterosteidae.